AUGCACGCUAGCGGCAGGCCUAACACAUGCAAGUCGAGGGGGAAGUUGCUUUCGGGUGACUGAGACCGGCGUACGGGUGCGUAACGCGUAUACAAUCUGCCUUUCACUGGGGGAUAGCCCGAAGAAAUUUGGAUUAAUACCCCAUAGUAUAUAGGGACGGCAUCGUUUUUAUAUUAAAGCUUAGGUGGUGAAAGAUGAGUAUGCGUUCUAUUAGCUAGUUGGAGAGGUAGCGGCUCCCCAAGGCGAUGAUAGAUAGGGGUUCUGAGAGGGAUGUCCCCCACACUGGUACUGAGAUACGGACCAGACUCCUACGGGAGGCAGCAGUGAGGAAUAUUGGACAAUGGUCGGAAGACUGAUCCAGCCAUGCCGCGUGCAGGAUGAAGGUCUUAUGGAUUGUAAACUGCUUUUGUAAGGGAAGAAUAAGGGCUACGCGUAGUUUGAUGACGGUACCUUACGAAUAAGCAUCGGCUAACUCCGUG
Molecule: ribosomal RNA, 479 nt
Filed under: uncultured bacterium
Lineage: Bacteria
Description: partial 16S ribosomal RNA
Rfam family: Bacterial small subunit ribosomal RNA
Source: RNAcentral